This is a non-coding RNA of Picea glauca (white spruce), 46 nucleotides long. NCBI's taxonomy places the organism in Eukaryota, Viridiplantae, Streptophyta, Pinopsida, Pinales, Pinaceae. The record is from Rfam.
GUAAUGGUGUCUUUAGACACCACUGAUAUUUUUCGAAGUUAUUUCU